RNAcentral lists this ribosomal RNA (255 nucleotides) under uncultured bacterium. RNAcentral's name for it is "partial 16S ribosomal RNA". It matches the Rfam family "Bacterial small subunit ribosomal RNA", at positions 524 to 776 of the family's 1533-position model. The record is from RNAcentral.
UACGUAGGAGGCGAGCGUUGUCCGGAAUUACUGGGCGUAAAGAGCGCGUAGGCGGCACGGUACGACCGGUGUGAAAGCCCCCGGCUCAACUGGGGAGGGUCACCGGUAACGGCCGAGCUACGAGUGCAGGAGAGGGAAGUGGAACUCCGGGAGGUAGCGGUGAAAUGCGUAGAGACCCGGAGGAACACCAGUGGCGAAGGCGGCUUCCUGGUCUGCAACUGACGCUGUGGCGCGAAAGCUAGGGGAGCAAACGGG